CUCCUGCAGCAUCCUGUAUUCUGUUUUUAAAGAUAAAGCUGAGUUUUUAUUCUAACUUUGAGAUAACAGAUGUUGAAGUGUAAUAACGUGCUCUGUGUGGAGUCACAGUGGAGAGCAUGCCUGAGUAACCCUCAUCAGCCACUAACCUGCCUUCAUCAUCAUCAUCUUGCCUUCACCAUCAUGGACGCCACUGCCAUGGCUCUUUAUGACACCGGCUUCCCCCUUGGCGAGCCAAUCUGGGCCAAGAUGGCUGCUGAUCAUUACCAUGGCUAAGUAUGGCGAUCACAGAGGGUACCAUGUUGCAAAUAGAAGCUCUGUCUGAAAGCAUCAACAACCUCACAUACCUGCUCAGCCGAGAUGAGCUGCGGCGGGAGAUGAGACGGUCUCAGACUACACUAAUCUGAAGGACACUGACCCGGUGCUUCUGGCUCACUAAUGCAGUCAGCGCUCUGACACCUGUACUGUACCUCCAGCUCCAGCCUAACACUGCAGCAGCCCGGAGCUGUCCCGACCUCUCCUACCAGCCGCUGAUACCUCAUGUGACUGUACUGUCACGCUGCAGGCACACUGCAGACACAAAGUGGACACAGAGUGGACACAGAGACACCUCUUACAUGAAGUGGAAAACAAUUCAGAGUCCCUCGAGAAGAGUUUCCUAUGUUUCUAUUUUAAUGAACUGUUGCUUAAAGCGACUUGGGGCAUUGUUUUUACUACUCUACUUGUUUUCCUAUGCAAUGCAUCCUCUGAUGUUAAUGUGCUCUGUGUAUUCUGUGCUGGUAUACUGAAGGGGAGAAAAGGGCCACAUUAGCAUCCCUUGCUUUGUGUCUUCAUAUGAUAUUCAGCGUAUGAUCCUCUCUCUUCAUUUUUUAUGAACUUUCGGAUGAAAAACACGACUGCUUCCAAAAAGAGCGAGUUAAAACUCACAGCAAGAGAUCUUCCACAAUGACAGUUUUGUCUUGCCAAGUUUUUCAACCUCAUUAUUCUGAAGUCACACACCCUAUUGGCAAUAAAUGUGAAUAAAACAG
Molecule: long non-coding RNA, 1025 nt
Organism: Notolabrus celidotus (New Zealand spotty)
Lineage: Eukaryota; Metazoa; Chordata; Actinopteri; Labriformes; Labridae
Exons: 3
Source: RefSeq, a predicted model, not a curated record